AUUGAACGCUGGCGGCAUGCCUUACACAUGCAAGUCGAACGGUAACGGGCCCUCGGGUGCCGACGAGUGGCGAACGGGUGAGUAAUACACCGGAACGUGCCCGACCGUGGGGGAUAACGAGGCGAAAGCUUAGCUAAUACCGCAUACGAUCUACGGAUGAAAGCAGGGGACCGCAAGGCCUUGCGCGGACGGAGCGGCCGGUGGCCGAUUAGGUAGUUGGUGGGAUAAAAGCUUACCAAGCCGACGAUCUGUAGCUGGUCUGAGAGGAUGAUCAGCCACACUGGGACUGAGACACGGCCCAGACUCCUACGGGAGGCAGCAGUGGGGAAUUUUGGACAAUGGGCGCAAGCCUGAUCCAGCCAUGCCGCGUGCAGGAUGAAGGCCUUCGGGUUGUAAACUGCUUUUGUACGGAACGAAAAGCCUUCUUUUAAUACAGGAGGGUCAUGACGGUACCGUAAGAAUAAGCACCGGCUAACUACGUG
This 482-nucleotide ribosomal RNA is filed under the name uncultured bacterium. RNAcentral's name for it is "partial 16S ribosomal RNA". It matches the Rfam family "Bacterial small subunit ribosomal RNA", at positions 30 to 507 of the family's 1533-position model. The record is from RNAcentral.